RNAcentral lists this ribosomal RNA (343 nucleotides) under Staphylococcus aureus 1801-2 2011. Its description in RNAcentral is "bacterial SSU rRNA". It matches the Rfam family "Bacterial small subunit ribosomal RNA", at positions 8 to 340 of the family's 1533-position model. The record is from RNAcentral. Lineage: Bacteria; Bacillati; Bacillota; Bacilli; Caryophanales; Staphylococcaceae.
AGAGUUUGAUCCUGGCUCAGGAUGAACGCUGGCGGCGUGCCUAAUACAUGCAAGUCGAGCGAACGGACGAGAAGCUUGCUUCUCUGAUGUUAGCGGCGGACGGGUGAGUAACACGUGGAUAACCUACCUAUAAGACUGGGAUAACUUCGGGAAACCGGAGCUAAUACCGGAUAAUAUUUUGAACCGCAUGGUUCAAAAGUGAAAGACGGUCUUGCUGUCACUUAUAGAUGGAUCCGCGCUGCAUUAGCUAGUUGGUAAGGUAACGGCUUACCAAGGCAACGAUGCAUAGCCGACCUGAGAGGGUGAUCGGCCACACUGGAACUGAGACACGGUCCAGACUCCU